Bos taurus (domestic cattle) is the source of this 1286-nucleotide long non-coding RNA. NCBI's taxonomy places the organism in Eukaryota, Metazoa, Chordata, Mammalia, Artiodactyla, Bovidae. The record is from Ensembl.
AGGUGAGGAGAUUGCCACCCCCAUGUGUCUUCUUCAUCCAGCUCUAUUCAUGAGUCCUCCCCAGAAAGCCUGAGGUAGAAAGCAUGGGGCUUCUUCCUCAGAACUCCCAAUAUACUGGUCCUCACAAUGGUCUGAAGGACUGGUCCACUCCAGCUGCUCCCCCACACAGAAGAAGGUAGGUUGUCCCUAUUUGUGCCUGUCAGUCCAUGGGGUCGCAAAGAGUUGGACACGACUGAGCGACUUCACUUUUUUCCUUUCCUUCUCCCCACAGCUGCUUAAUUAGAUUAAGACAACCAGAGCACUCAACAGCACUCCAGACCCACCAGCAGAGUGAAAAGAGCAGCUGCCAUGGGACACCAUGGGAUAACAGAACAGAACACCACACCACAGGACACAACAGAGAAUGACAGAACACUACAGAGGACACCACACAAUACCAAGUCACCUCAGAUACCACAGGAUACCACAGAGCUCCACAGAAUGCCAAAGACAUCACAGAAUACCACAGAACAUAAAAUACCACAAGCACCACAGAAUACCACAGAAAACAUAGAACACUACGGAAUACCACAGACAACACAGGACACUGCAGACACCUCUAAACACACAAUUCCACAGAAUACCACAGAACCUCACAGAAUACCACAGAGCAACAUAGAAUACCACAAGCACCACAGAAUACCACAGAAAACAUAGAACACUACAGAAUACCACAGACAACACAGGACACUGCAGACACCUCUAAACACCACACAAUUCCACAGAAUACCACAGAAUACCACAGGACACCAUAGACACCUGAGAAUACUACAUAGUACCACAGAUACCACAAGUACCACAGAAUACCACAGAAAACAUAGAACACUACGGAAUACCACAGACAACACAGGACACUGCAGACACCUCUAAACACCACACAAUUCCACAGAAUACCACAGAACAUCACAGAAUACCACAGAACAUAGAAUACCACAAGCACCACAGAAUACCACAGAAAACAUAGAACACUACGGAAUACCACAGCACCAGAGAAUACCAAAAACAUCACAGAAUACCACAGAACAUAGAAUACCACAAGCACCACAGAAUACCACAGAAAACAUAGAACACUACAGAAUACCACAGACAACACAGGACACUGCAGACACCUCUAAACACCACACAAUUCCACAGAAUACCACAGAAUACCACAGGACACCAUAGACACCUGAGAAUACCACAACAACAUAGAAUACCACAAGCACCACAGAAUACCACAGAAAACAUAGAACACUACGGAAUACCAC